ACCCAGGAAGGGGUUGGAGGCCAGGGGACACCUCUGCCCAGGAAGCUGAACAAAGGCUGGGGAAGGAGACGCUGGGGAGUGAAAGGAGUUUCAGGAGCUGGCUGAGGAAUGGAGGGAAGCACAGACAGGGCUCUGACCCCCCAAGGGGGCAGUGGUGCUCCUGGGACCCCAAGAGGGACCUAAUUGGGGAGGAUCCUGCUGUUUGUGCCUGCAAGACCUGUCUGGGCCUGUGUGCCUGUCAGCUAAAUAAACCUUCUGCUUUACUGGCUGGCUGAGAGCCCUGGUGAAUGGCAGGAAGCCGGGGGUGCAGAGCCCUGACUUCCCCACACUCCGUGACAGCUCCAGUACAAAGAGGCUUGUACACCAGCCAACAUCUCGCCCAGCCUGGGGUCCCUGCGCCGCGGUUUCUCGUGGAAAUCAGGUGAGGAUGCUCUUAUCUUGGUUUUCUCUUUUGUCUGGGUGAAACGGUCCCCUUCCCCAUGGUCACAGCCUUCUGUUGGGGUGUUUCUCCCAGGACUCAGCCUAUCCCCAGAGUGCCAGCUUCUUGGCACCACCAGCAUUGAGGUGUGUGGUGUGUGCACAGCGACACUCCGAGAAAUUGGUGUUGAUAAAACUCGGUGUGGAAACCAGAGGGGGAUUUUCCUGCAGCUGUUCCCUAGCAAAUGGAGACAUACCUUGGAAAGGGGCCAGUGGGACUGGCCUUCAGCUUCUUGGUUCAUCACCAAAAAUGUUCUUUCGGUCCCCUGCUUUUUCCCAUCUAUCUCUGGGUCGUUCCUGGUGGGGAAAGUGAGGAGGCUAAGGGCACACUCUGCCUUCGCUGACUCCUUUGUUAAGUGGAAUGAUCAGUUGUGA
RNAcentral lists this long non-coding RNA (852 nucleotides) under Gopherus agassizii (Agassiz's desert tortoise). Its description in RNAcentral is "lncRNA (ENSGAGG00000008213.1)". The record is from RNAcentral. Lineage: Eukaryota; Metazoa; Chordata; Testudines; Testudinidae.